Long non-coding RNA from Bombus terrestris (buff-tailed bumblebee), 419 nucleotides. RefSeq lists it as uncharacterized. Lineage: Eukaryota; Metazoa; Arthropoda; Insecta; Hymenoptera; Apidae. The transcript has 2 exons. The record is from RefSeq and is a predicted model, not a curated record.
AUUUUUUGAAAUGUAUUGCCCAUUUUAUUAGUUUAUUAUAGAACUACAGCAAAAAGAGUAAUAUAAAUAGAAAAUGGAAAAUUGCUACAACAUACAAUACUGACAUCUAGUGAUUCCCAUCUUAUAUAAUUUACGUAGUUCAAUGGACAGACAACUUGUUUAUUGAAAGAUCACUGAAAUAAAUACAUAUAUGGACAUUACAAAUAGUUUCGAAAAUGUUUAGUAUUAUAAGAUAUACGUUUAUAAAGUCGCUUCGGGCCAAUUAAGGUAUACAUAAUUUUAUUUAUACAUCUUUAAAUGAUAAUGCAUUUGUGUGUAGCACAUACAUUCUUAUUAGCUUAACAAACUGUUUCCAGUUCUAUGUAUGGUAUACAGUCAUGUACUUACUGUAAUAAAAAAAGCUUUUCUUGUUUGAUUUA